CACAAAGGGGGAAGAUGAGGGGAGAACUGAAUACUCAAACACUCUCCAUCCCUCCAACUCUCCUUUCCCAGUCCUUUUGGGAACCGGUUGGCAUGGAAACCCUACACGUGUGCUGUCUUUGUCUGAAAAUAGACCCAAUGUUGCUGCUCAGAGGAGCGGGAUGCACGCACACACACACCACAAAUACACACACACACACACACCACAAAUACACACACACACACACCACAAAUACACACACACACACACACACCACAAAUACACACACACACACACACACCACAAAUACACACACACACACCACAAAUACACACACCACAAAUACACACACACCACAAAUACACACACAAACACACCACAAAUACACACACACCACAAAUACACACACAAACACACCACAAAUACACACACACCACAAAUACACCACAAAUACACACACACACACACACACACACACACACACACACACACACACACACACACCACAAAUACACACACACCACAAAUACACACACCACAAAUACACACACACCACAAAUACACACACACCACAAAUACACACACCACAAAUACACACACACCACAAAUACACACACACACACCACAAACACACACACACCACAAAUACACACACACACACACCACAAACACACACACACCACAAAUACACACACACACACACCACAAACACACACACACCACAAAUACACACACACACACACCACAAACACACACACACCACAAAUACACACACACACAAACCACAAAUGCACACACAAAUUCACUACGACAGACACACACACACACACACACACACACACACACACACACACACACACAGGGCUCGGAGCUGGUUAGCUCACUCAAUAAUUGAUUGUCCUUGAGGGCAAUAUGAGGUGCUAUCUACGGUGCGUUCCUGUAUCACCCACUCACCGUCUCACUCAAUCUCUUAUUAGUGAUGCUAUUGGCUUUACACUGUGUGUCGUUACACUGUCUGUCUUUACACUGUCUGUCUUUACACUGUCUGUCUUUACACUGUCUGUCUUUACACUGUCUGUCUUUACACUGUCUGUCUUUACACUGUCUGUCUUUACACUGUCUGUCGUUACACUGUCUGUCGUACACUGUCUGUCUUUACACUGUCUGUCUUUACACUGUCUGUCGUUACACUGUCUGUCUUUACACUGUCUGUCUUUACACUGUCUGUCUUUACACUGUCUG
This 1221-nucleotide long non-coding RNA is filed under the name Oncorhynchus kisutch (coho salmon). Its description in RNAcentral is "lncRNA (ENSOKIG00005015647.1)". Lineage: Eukaryota; Metazoa; Chordata; Actinopteri; Salmoniformes; Salmonidae. The record is from RNAcentral.